This 491-nucleotide ribosomal RNA is filed under the name uncultured bacterium. RNAcentral's name for it is "partial 16S ribosomal RNA". It matches the Rfam family "Bacterial small subunit ribosomal RNA", at positions 28 to 507 of the family's 1533-position model. The record is from RNAcentral.
GAUGAACGCUAGCUACAGGCUUAACACAUGCAGGCGAGGGGAAACGACAUCGAAAGCUUGCUUUUGAUGGGCGUCGACCGGCGCACGGGUGAGUAACGCGUAUCCAACCUGCCCAUCACUUGGGAAUAACCUUGCGAAAGUAAGACUAAUACCCAAUGACAUCCCACGAAGACAUCUGAAUGGGAUUAAAGAUUUAUCGGUGAUGGAUGGGGAUGCGUCUGAUUAGCUUGUUGGCGGGGUAACGGCCCACCAAGGCAACGAUCAGUAGGGGUUCUGAGAGGAAGGUCCCCCACAUUGGAACUGAGACACGGUCCAAACUCCUACGGGAGGCAGCAGUGAGGAAUAUUGGUCAAUGGGCGAGAGCCUGAACCAGCCAAGUAGCGUGCAGGAUGACGGCCCUAUGGGUUGUAAACUGCUUUUAUAAGGGAAUAAAGUGGGUCUCGUGAGACUUUUUGCAUGUACCUUAUGAAUAAGGACCGGCUAAUUCCGUG